GAUGAACGCUGGCGGCGUGCCUAAUACAUGCAAGUCGAGCGAACAGACGAGGAGCUUGCUCCUCUGACGUUAGCGGCGGACGGGUGAGUAACACGUGGAUAACCUACCUAUAAGACUGGGAUAACUUCGGGAAACCGGAGCUAAUACCGGAUAAUAUAUUGAACCGCAUGGUUCAAUAGUGAAAGACGGUUUUGCUGUCACUUAUAGAUGGAUCCGCGCCGCAUUAGCUAGUUGGUAAUGUAACGGCUUACCAAGGCAACGAUGCGUAGCCGACCUGAGAGGGGAGUCGGCCACACUGGAACUGAGACACGGUCCAGACUCCUACGGGAGGCAGCAGUAGGGAAUCUUCCGCAAGGGGCGAAAGCCUGACGGAGCAACGCCGCGUGAGUGAUGAAGGUCUUCGGAUCGUAAAACUCUGUUAUUAGGGAAGAACAAAUGUGUAAGUAACUAUGCACGUCUUGACGGUACCUAAUCAGAAAGCCACGGCUAACUACGUG
Molecule: ribosomal RNA, 497 nt
Filed under: uncultured bacterium
Lineage: Bacteria
Description: partial 16S ribosomal RNA
Rfam family: Bacterial small subunit ribosomal RNA
Source: RNAcentral